AUGCAGCGACGCCGCGUGAGGGAUGACGGCCUUCGGGUUGUAAACCUCUUUCUGCAGGGAAGAAGCGAAAGUGACGGUACCUGCAGAAGAAGCGCCGGCUAACUACGUGCCAGCAGCCGCGGUAAUACGUAGGGCGCAAGCGUUGUCCGGAAUUAUUGGGCGUAAAGAGCUCGUAGGCGGCUUGUCACGUCGGAUGUGAAAGCCCGGGGCUUAACCCCGGGUCUGCAUUCGAUACGGGCAGGCUAGAGUGUGGUAGGGGAGAUCGGAAUUCCUGGUGUAGCGGUGAAAUGCGCAGAUAUCAGGAGGAACACCGGUGGCGAAGGCGGAUCUCUGGGCCAUUACUGACGCUGAGGAGCGAAAGCGUGGGGAGCGAACAGGAUUAGAUACCCUGGUAGUCCACGCCGUAAACGUUGGGAACUAGGUGUUGGCGACAUUCCACGUCGUCGGUGCCGCAGCUAACGCAUUAAGUUCCCCGCCUGGGGAGUACGGCCGCAAGGCUAAAACUCAAAUGAAUUGACGGG
RNAcentral lists this ribosomal RNA (521 nucleotides) under Streptomyces chryseus. RNAcentral's name for it is "bacterial SSU rRNA". It matches the Rfam family "Bacterial small subunit ribosomal RNA", at positions 386 to 917 of the family's 1533-position model. The record is from RNAcentral. Lineage: Bacteria; Bacillati; Actinomycetota; Actinomycetes; Kitasatosporales; Streptomycetaceae.